GAGUACAGGGGCGCUGGAACCAGCCAGCGAACUCCCUGCAGGCCCCGCGGCACUUUCGGGGGCGGGGGAUGGUGCCUGCGAUCCCCAAAACCCCAAAGGGCGUUUUUUACAGUGCUCUUUUAGCUCUGCUGACCGCGGAUGGCUUAAGUGUUAACAGCUCAGUGGGCCCUUUGCCUUUUCUCAUGAGUCGGCUGCCCUGUGCCAGCAAGGGCAAAGGGCCAGUGUAACAGCCUUUUGUAUCUGCACUCGUGGCUCCUGAGCUCCUGUUCGGCACACAGGAAAAAUGAGGUCGCACCAACAAACUGAAGGAUGGUAAAUGUUGAGGAUUUUAUUGCCAAUGAAAGCGGCUGUCACUGGGAGCUGAAAAGGUAAUGGAAAGCUGAAAAGCGGAUAAGGUGGGUAGGUACCUGAAGUCUGGCCAUCUACGGCAGCUGGAUUCUUCUCCAAAGUUAUACUGUCAAGCUGUCCCUCUGAAGCCAAGCCACUUCUCUUUGACAUCCAGCCGUAGUCUCUGCUCCUCUCCAACUGAGUAUGAGGGAGAUGUUUCCUAUUAUCCUUGAUAAUGUGCCAUGAACAUAUGAAAAAACAUAGAAACAUGAAGAAAACAAGAAGACAAAAAUCACUAACAUCUGGUUGGCUGUAUAGAAACAAAGCUGAUUCUGCUUGCAAAUGGAUCUUACAGACGUUGUCACAGAGACAAGAAAAGCAUAUAAAAAAAUAAAUAAAGAUGAGCUCCUUUCAAGGUGACUGACUAGAAGCAGCUGGUGUGUGCUGCUCUCACAAAGAGAAGAAAGAGUGGUGAGUGGACCAUCCAGGUGGACACAUUGGGAUUCAUCAAGGAAACAAUACACAGAAAACAGAAGAAUGAGACAGGACAAUCAUUCACCCAGAAGUGGCAUAGAGCCGGGAGAUGGCCCUCACCAUGGUUAGUAAGUGAGAGUCCCCAGGGAGUCACAUUUCUGCCACAGACCUUUGCAACCCUGGGCCCAGGCGAUCCCCCAUGACACCCGUGCCCCACCAGGGCCUCUGGACUGACAUAGACAGCUACAUGGAGUGUGGGCAGAACUGCCACUCAGGCACUCAUGAAAUCCUUGGAGCUUUUCAUCCCCAGGCACCCUGGUACCAAUGGCUGCAGCUGCGGCAAUGGGGGAGGACAGGCUCUCUUGCAUGUCCUCAGAAUAGGAACACAAUCCAUGGGGCUAAGCAGUGGGUGGACUGUGGGGCUCUUCUACACAGCCCGUUGCCAGACUGGCCUGGGAUCCUAGCAUGGUCACAAAAGUCCCACCUGGGCUCUUGAGGAACAGAUCUGUACUUCCCUGGCAUGGAACUCCUGGAGGGGAUGGGCAGGCUGCUGUUUUUGCUGCUCCACAGCCCUCACUCCUGUUGCCCUCAGUCUUGGGAGUGAGCACAGUGAUUGGGGACUAACAUAGACCCCCAGCACAGUGUACAGACUUGCAGAAAAGCAGCCAGACUCUUUUCCACAUGGGUCCUCACCCCUGCUACUCUUCACUGGGCAGCACCUCUUGACCUUGGCCCCCAGCACAACCAACCCGCCCCCACAUGAACGCUUUGUCAGUGAUGGCUCUGUGUUUCUCUGAGGAGAAAAAUCCAAAAGACAAUCCAUAAGCCUUCUGCUAUUGCAGCUGCAGUGGUAUGGCCCUUACUACCUUCAGGCUGGGGAAAGAACGAAGGACUUGGUCCUUACACUGGCCCCUCCAGCACACCAUCGCCACCAUAUGGAGAAGAGCCCAGUCUCUCUUCCCCGUAAGCCCCCACUCACCACUGUUCACCAGGCAAGGCCCCUAGUUGGGGACAGCAGAGCAGCUGUCCUACCCCCGGAUGAGAAUUCCCACUGCUAUUGGCUCUAUAUUUUCCUGAGGUGGGCCUCCCAGAAGC
Molecule: long non-coding RNA, 1896 nt
Filed under: Homo sapiens (human)
Lineage: Eukaryota; Metazoa; Chordata; Mammalia; Primates; Hominidae
Description: HSALNT0372745
Source: RNAcentral